UUUUUUUUUUUUUUUUUUUUUUUUUUUUUUUUUUUUUUUUUUUUAGACGGGCACUGUUGAAA
Molecule: non-coding RNA, 62 nt
Filed under: Alexandrium minutum
Lineage: Eukaryota; Dinophyceae; Gonyaulacales; Pyrocystaceae
Source: RNAcentral